UUGUAUAUAAUGAUAUGUGUUAAUAAAUGUAAGUCUUUUACUACGAACUUUAAAACACUUGUAU
Molecule: transfer RNA, 64 nt
Filed under: Debaryomyces hansenii
Lineage: Eukaryota; Fungi; Ascomycota; Pichiomycetes; Serinales; Debaryomycetaceae
Source: RNAcentral